GUUGCUGACCAUAGUGAGGGCGACUGGAGCUCGACCGCAGCAGUCUCUGUAGGUUCUCUAUCUGUCAUCAUAACCUUGAUCAUGUUUGGGGUUUUGUAUCUGAAAAAACCAACGGGCGAAACAAGCAGCCAAACUGAAUUAAGCCAGAGCUCCUUAUAUUUUCUUCAGGAUUCUUUAAAUAUCUCUCAGAUUUCAGAUGGGCUCCAAUUCCCACUGAAUCAUUUGUUGAAAACUUCAUAAGCAAUGACUUUCUUUGGUGCUGAACAAACAGAAGUUACAUACGUCCAACAGCCUGUUACAAAAUGUAGUUCUUCUUCAUAUGUUUCCACUUAAUGUUGACAUUCAAGUCUCUUUGUGUACUGUAACUUCUAAAUUACUAAUGCUGUGCCAUCUUUU
Molecule: non-coding RNA, 396 nt
Organism: Paramisgurnus dabryanus
Lineage: Eukaryota; Metazoa; Chordata; Actinopteri; Cypriniformes; Cobitidae
Source: RefSeq, a predicted model, not a curated record